Non-coding RNA from Elaeis guineensis (African oil palm), 892 nucleotides. NCBI's taxonomy places the organism in Eukaryota, Viridiplantae, Streptophyta, Magnoliopsida, Arecales, Arecaceae. The record is from RefSeq and is a predicted model, not a curated record.
CUUUUGCGGUGCACGUGUCGCGAUGCCAACGCUCGAAUCCGUGGUGGCAUGAACGUUCGAGGAACCAAUCCCGUACCCCGUUUCCAUUACCACCAAGUUCCCUCUUUUGCCCCUCCGACGGCCUCUGCUUCUCAACCAGAUCGGGGGCAAUUGCGGGAAUCGAAAAUAUAGCCGGACUGCUUGCAGGAGGGUUGUCCACCCUAUUGCCCCGCGCGUGUUCGAAUUUACCCACCGGUCUUUCGUAUCCGUCCAUUAUUAUAUGUUCGACCCCACUCCUUUCUUUAAAUUAAAUUAAAUCCCACACGGCGCUAUACCGGUCGAGGAGGGGAAGAAGAAAUCGAACCAUCCCGCUGCUUCCAUCGAUCGCCGUCAUGAAGAGAUCCGGGGCGAAGGUGGCCGCUGCCUCGGUGGCCGUUGCGUCCUCCACCGCCGCCCUCACUGCCGCCACCUAUACUGCCGCUCUCUCCGAUUCCUCCUCCGAUCCCAAUUUCCAAUCUCCUGCUCAGUCCGGCGAGAUGGAGGAGCGGCGGCGGUCGUCUUCCGCGACGGAUAGAUUUGCUCCGAGAUUCGAUGGAUUGCGGUUUAUUGAGACGCUCGUGACAGCUCAUCGAUGAGGAUUAGAAAGCUAGAAGUUCACGAUUUCUCCCUCUUUUUUUUUUCUUGCUUGGUGUGAGUGUAGCUAAAGAUGUCUGAUGAUUGAUGGAAUGUAACGUUUGAUUAGCUGUAAUUGUAAUUAAUUGAAAUAGUAGGUGUGAUCAUUGUUAUGCUGAGACAAAUUGUGUCCGUUGCCGAGAAAAGUUUGUAGAGGACAGGGAAGAUUCCUAUCUCGUCUGAUGUUGGGUUAUUAUUUAUUAAUUGUACCAUCCCAAUUCUUACCAAAGAAAAAAAAAAA